RNAcentral lists this ribosomal RNA (709 nucleotides) under uncultured Flavobacteriales bacterium. RNAcentral's name for it is "bacterial SSU rRNA". It matches the Rfam family "Bacterial small subunit ribosomal RNA", at positions 41 to 751 of the family's 1533-position model. The record is from RNAcentral. Lineage: Bacteria; Pseudomonadati; Bacteroidota; Flavobacteriia; Flavobacteriales.
GGCAGGCUUAACACAUGCAAGUCGAGGGGUAUUAGUUUUCGGACUAAGAGACCGGCGCACGGGUGCGUAACGCGUAUGCAAUCUACCUUUUACAGAGGGAUAGCCCAGAGAAAUUUGGAUUAAUACCUCAUAGUAUAGCAGUUUCGCAUGAAACCACUAUUAAAGUCACAACGGUAAAAGAUGAGCAUGCGUCCCAUUAGCUAGUUGGUAAGGUAACGGCUUACCAAGGCUACGAUGGGUAGGGGUCCUGAGAGGGAGAUCCCCCACACUGGUACUGAGACACGGACCAGACUCCUACGGGAGGCAGCAGUGAGGAAUAUUGGACAAUGGGCGCAAGCCUGAUCCAGCCAUGCCGCGUGCAGGAUGACGGUCCUAUGGAUUGUAAACUGCUUUUGUACGAGAAGAAACACUCCUAUGUAUAGGAGCUUGACGGUAUCGUAAGAAUAAGGAUCGGCUAACUCCGUGCCAGCAGCCGCGGUAAUACGGAGGAUCCAAGCGUUAUCCGGAAUCAUUGGGUUUAAAGGGUCCGUAGGCGGUUUAGUAAGUCAGUGGUGAAAGCCCAUCGCUCAACGGUGGAACGGCCAUUGAUACUGCUGAACUUGAAUUAUUAGGAAGUAACUAGAAUAUGUAGUGUAGCGGUGAAAUGCUUAGAGAUUACAUGGAAUACCAAUUGCGAAGGCAGGUUACUACUAAUUGAUUGACGCUGAUG